GCCGGGGUGGCGGAAUUGGUAGACGCGGCGGAUUCAAAAUCCGCUGGUUUUGCGACCUUGAGGGUUCGAGUCCCUCCCUCGGUA
Non-coding RNA from Thiotrichales bacterium SG8_50, 84 nucleotides. The record is from Rfam. NCBI's taxonomy places the organism in Bacteria, Pseudomonadati, Pseudomonadota, Gammaproteobacteria, Thiotrichales.